RNAcentral lists this ribosomal RNA (253 nucleotides) under uncultured bacterium. Its description in RNAcentral is "partial 16S ribosomal RNA". It matches the Rfam family "Bacterial small subunit ribosomal RNA", at positions 524 to 776 of the family's 1533-position model. The record is from RNAcentral.
UACGGAGGGUGCAAGCGUUAUCCGGAUUCACUGGGUUUAAAGGGUGCGUAGGUGGGUUGGUAAGUCAGUGGUGAAAUCCCCGAGCUUAACUUGGGAACUGCCAUUGAUACUAUCAGUCUUGAAUACUGUGGAGGUCAGCGGAAUAUGUCAUGUAGCAGUGAAAUGCGUAGAUAUGACCCAGAACACCAAUUGCGAAGGCAGCUCGCUAAACCAUAACUGACGCUGAUGCACGAAAGCGUGGGGAGCAAACAGG